GGAGUUAGCCGGUGCUUCUUCUGUGAGUGAUGUCCUUCCUGCCGGCUAUUAACCCGCAGGCCUUCUUCCUCACUGAAAGUGCUUUACAACCCGAAGGCCUUCUUCACACACGCGGCAUGGCUGGAUCAGGGUUGCCCCCAUUGUCCAAUAUUCCCCACUGCUGCCUCCCGUAGGAGUCUGGGCCGUGUCUCAGUCCCAGUGUGGCUGAUCAUCCUCUCAGACCAGCUACGGAUCGUCGCCUUGGUGAGCCGUUACCUCACCAACCAGCUAAUCCGACAUAGGCUCAUCCGAUAGCGCGAGGCCCGAAGGUCCCCCGCUUUCCCCCGUAGGGCGUAUGCGGUAUUAGCCUGGGUUUCCCCAGGUUAUCCCCCACUACCGGGCAGAUUCCUAUGCAUUACUCACCCGUCCGCCGCUCGCCACCAGGGAGCAAGCUCCCCGUGCUGCCGCUCGACUUGCAUGUGUUAGGCCUGCCGCCAGCGUUCAAUCUGAGCCAGGAUCAAACUACUGA
This 508-nucleotide ribosomal RNA is filed under the name uncultured bacterium. RNAcentral describes it as "partial 16S ribosomal RNA". The record is from RNAcentral.